Molecule: ribosomal RNA, 252 nt
Filed under: uncultured bacterium
Lineage: Bacteria
Description: partial 16S ribosomal RNA
Rfam family: Bacterial small subunit ribosomal RNA
Source: RNAcentral
UACGGAGGGUGCAAGCGUUAUCCGGAUUCACUGGGUUUAAAGGGUGCGUAGGCGGGCAGGUAAGUCAGUGGUGAAAUCUCCGGGCUUAACCCGGAACUGCCGUUGAUACUAUCUGUCUUGAAUAUCGUGGAGGUAAGCGGAAUAUGUCAUGUAGCGGUGAAAUGCUUAGAUAUGACAUAGAACACCAAUUGCGAAGGCAGCUGGCUACAGGUACAUUGACACUGAGGCACGAAAGCGUGGGGAUCAAACAGG